RNAcentral lists this ribosomal RNA (253 nucleotides) under uncultured bacterium. Its description in RNAcentral is "partial 16S ribosomal RNA". It matches the Rfam family "Bacterial small subunit ribosomal RNA", at positions 524 to 776 of the family's 1533-position model. The record is from RNAcentral.
UACGAAGGGGACUAGCGUCGUUCGGAAUCACUGGGCGUAAAGCGCACGUAGGCGGAUAUGUCAGUCAGGGGUGAAAUCCCGGGGCUCAACCUCGGAACUGCCUUUGAUACAGCAUGUCUUGAGUCCGAUAGAGGUGGGUGGAAUUCCUAGUGUAGAGGUGAAAUUCGUAGAUAUUAGGAAGAACACCGGUGGCGAAGGCGGCCCACUGGAUCGGUACUGACGCUGAGGUGCGAAAGCGUGGGGAGCAAACAGG